UACGUAGGGUGCGAGCGUUGUCCGGAAUUAUUGGGCGUAAAGAGCUCGUAGGCGGCUUGUCGCGUCGGUUUGUGAAAGCCCGGGGCUUAACCCCGGGUCUGCAGUCGAUACGGGCAGGCUAGAGUGUGGUAGGGGAGAUCGGAAUUCCUGGUGUAGCGGUGAAAUGCGCAGAUAUCAGGAGGAACACCGGUGGCGAAGGCGGAUCUCUGGGCCAUUACUGACGCUGAGGAGCGAAAGCGUGGGGAGCGAACAGG
This 254-nucleotide ribosomal RNA is filed under the name uncultured bacterium. RNAcentral describes it as "partial 16S ribosomal RNA". It matches the Rfam family "Bacterial small subunit ribosomal RNA", at positions 524 to 776 of the family's 1533-position model. The record is from RNAcentral.